AAUCUGCCUUUAGGACGGGGACAACAGUUGGAAACGGCUGCUAAAACCCGAUGUGCCCUUCGGGGUGAAAUAUUUAUAGCCUGAAGAUGAGCUCGCGUCUGAUUAGCUAGUAGGUGAGGUAAAGGCUCACCUAGGCGACGAUCAGUAACUGGUUUGAGAGGAUGACCAGUCACACUGGGACUGAGACACGGCCCAGACUCCUACGGGAGGCAGCAGUGGGGAAUUUUCCGCAAUGGGCGCAAGCCUGACGGAGCAAUACCGCGUGAGG
This 268-nucleotide ribosomal RNA is filed under the name uncultured bacterium. Its description in RNAcentral is "partial 16S ribosomal RNA". It matches the Rfam family "Bacterial small subunit ribosomal RNA", at positions 123 to 406 of the family's 1533-position model. The record is from RNAcentral.